Molecule: long non-coding RNA, 208 nt
Organism: Helianthus annuus (common sunflower)
Lineage: Eukaryota; Viridiplantae; Streptophyta; Magnoliopsida; Asterales; Asteraceae
Exons: 3
Source: RefSeq, a predicted model, not a curated record
GAAAAUUCGAUGCAUGAGCCCCUUUUUGCGAAAAUCUAACCCUAAUUAGUGAAGUGGCAUAAAGGAAGAAGGUACAAGCACCAAGAAAACGGAAGGAGCGCAAGAUCGAGAUGGCUGAUGCAAGAAAUAUUAAUGAUGAUAAUGAUGAUAACAAUGAUGCGGCUAGACAAGAAGCAUUCGAGAACAAAGUUACGGAAGUAGCGGAAGG